RNAcentral lists this ribosomal RNA (253 nucleotides) under uncultured bacterium. Its description in RNAcentral is "partial 16S ribosomal RNA". It matches the Rfam family "Bacterial small subunit ribosomal RNA", at positions 524 to 776 of the family's 1533-position model. The record is from RNAcentral.
GACAGAGGGUGCAAACGUUGCUCGGAAUUACUGGGCGUAAAGCGCGUGUAGGCGGUCACGCAAGUCAGGUGUGAAAGCCCAGGGCUCAACCCUGGAAGUGCACAUGAUACUACGUGGCUGGAGUACUGAAGAGGAGAGCGGAAUUCCCGGUGUAGAGGUGAAAUUCGUAGAUAUUGGGAAGAACACCGGUGGCGAAGGCGGCCAUCUGGACCGCAACUGACGCUGAGGCGCGAAAGCGUGGGGAGCAAACAGG